Molecule: ribosomal RNA, 399 nt
Filed under: uncultured bacterium
Lineage: Bacteria
Description: partial 16S ribosomal RNA
Rfam family: Bacterial small subunit ribosomal RNA
Source: RNAcentral
CCUACGGGUGGCAGCAGUGAGGAAUAUUGGUCAAUGGGCGUGAGCCUGAACCAGCCAAGUAGCGUGAAGGAUGACGGCUCUAUGGGUUGUAAACCUCUUUUAUAAGGGAAUAAAGUGAGGGACGUGUGCCGUUUUGUAUGUACCUUAUGAAUAAGGAUCGGCUAACUCCGUGCCAGCAGCCGCGGUAAUACGGAGGAUCCGAGCGUUAUCCGGAUUUAUUGGGUUUAAAGGGUGCGUAGAUGGGCUGUUAAGUCAGUUGUGAAAGUCUGCGGCUCAACCGUAAAAUUGCAAUUGAUACUGGCAGUCUUGAGUACAGUUGAGGUAGGCGGAAUGCGUGGUGUAGCGGUGAAAUGCUUAGAUAUCACGAAGAACCCCGAUUGCGAAGGCAGCUUACUAAGC